GCCAGACAUGGUGGCAUGUGCCUAUAGUCCCAGCUACUCGGGAGGCUGACGUAGGGGGAUUGCUUGAGCUCAGGAGUUCUGGGCUGCAGUGCGCUAUGCCAACUGGGUGUCUGCACUAACUUCAGCAUCAAUAUGGUGACCUCCUGGGAGUGGGGGGCCACCAGGUUGCCUAAGGUGGGCUUAACUGGCCCAGGUCGAAAAUGAAGCAGGCCAAAAGUCCCAUGCUGAUUAGAUCUGUUUCUAACAUUUCCAUAUACUUGUGCAUAUAAAUGUUUUAUAUUUU
Unclassified non-coding RNA from Callithrix jacchus (white-tufted-ear marmoset), 283 nucleotides. It matches the Rfam family "Metazoan signal recognition particle RNA". From Rfam's summary of the family: The signal recognition particle (SRP) is a universally conserved ribonucleoprotein. It is involved in the co-translational targeting of proteins to membranes. The eukaryotic SRP consists of a 300-nucleotide 7S RNA and six proteins: SRPs 72, 68, 54, 19, 14, and 9. The record is from Ensembl. Lineage: Eukaryota; Metazoa; Chordata; Mammalia; Primates; Cebidae.